This 433-nucleotide ribosomal RNA is filed under the name uncultured bacterium. RNAcentral describes it as "partial 16S ribosomal RNA". It matches the Rfam family "Bacterial small subunit ribosomal RNA", at positions 29 to 507 of the family's 1533-position model. The record is from RNAcentral.
AAUGAACGCUGGCGGCAUGCCUAACACAUGCAAGUCGAACGAAACGUUCGGGACUAGUGGCGUCUGGCUGCGUAACGCGUCGGAACCUUCCCACAGGUUUGACCUAACUCUCCGACUGGGGUGACAAUACCGGAUCAUGUCUUCUGCCCAAGGAUUUAUCGCCCUUGGUUGUGCCGUCGUUGGAUUAGCUUGUUGGUAGGGUAAAAGCCUACUAGGGCGAGCAUCCAUAGCUGGUCUGAGAGACUGGUCAGCGACACUGGGACUGGGACACGGCCCGGACUCCUACGGGAGGCGGGAGUGGGGGAUAUUGGACAGUGGGCGGAAGGCUGAUGCAGCAAUGCCGCGUGAGUGAUGUAGGCAUUAGAGUUGUAAAGCGCUUGUAACCGGGAUGAUAAUGACGGUACCGGGAGAGUAAGCCCCGGCUAACUCCGUG